UGAGAAAGAGGAUGUGUAACAUUUUUUCCUCACUCGUGCGGACAACAAUUUCGUAAUGUAUUCCUUUCCUAAGGCUUAGCCAGUCCUAAGGCCUGCCAUCUGGCAACACUGAUAAGUUAAUGUGCUUAUAUCGGCACUUUGUGUCUGACUUCUGAGGUUGACUGAACUAGUGUAGAGACUAGAGGCUGCAGUAGACUAUUCUCAGGGAACAUGGGAAAUCUUUCGAGUAGCGACAACGACGGGAUUUCAACGGGAUUUCAAGGCCUUUCCUUUAUGGCACGGGCAUGCAGGGCUUCAUUCAAGGGGAAGGAUCACCAGAGGAAGAGGCAUAUACGAAGGCGGCACCAGCCGAAGACAGCUCAAGUGAGCACUGCAUCAAAGUCGACCCAAACCGCGGAGCUUGCAUCAAAGUCGACCCAAACCACGGACAGCUCCAGCGAUGAAGUGUCACCGAGGCUCGAGCGAUCGCCACCAAGUGGCCCAGCAUAGACAAGAAGUCCGUCGCUUUUCCUCGUACGGAAUAAGAAGAAUGACCAGGGCACGGUGCUGCAAAUCCACUCAUUUGGAUUUCGGUUUUUCCGUUUGGGCUUUUUACGUUUUCUCUUUCUUUUCUUCUCAUUUUCAACUUCUCGGUAUCGUUGUUUUUGAUUUGUAUCGUUAAGAUUGUUAAUGUGUCGACAAGCGGAAAGAUGUUAUAUUUGUUCUGUCUUCAUUUUGUUAUACCUAGACACUGCGCUUUUUUAGCACUUCUUGGUGACUACAUCGGGUCGGUACAUAAGGAACAAAUGGGUCUGGUUUUUUUUUUUUUGGAGUUCCAUCGCGUUUUGUGUUUCGAAUUCUCUCGACACUUAGUACUGUUGCUUGCUUUGGAUAAGCUGCGAUAUGCAGCUAAUCCAAAGCUGCGAGGCUUGAAUAUUUGAAAAAAAUGCCUUCAAAUCCGGUUUAUAUUGUCAUUUUACUAAAUUAUCUUUAAAACUUUCUCAAUAUAAUGGUUUCAAUGGUUUCAAUGUCAAUAUAAGGGUUUCAAAAACUUUUUCAAUAUAAUGGUUUUCAAUGGUUCUUAUAAUGAUUAAUUAGACACAUUAUUCCAGAUUUUGGCUUACGUAAAGUAAAAAUAUUCUGACGUGAA
Hyalella azteca is the source of this 1129-nucleotide long non-coding RNA. RefSeq lists it as uncharacterized. The transcript is spliced from 3 exons. The record is from RefSeq and is a predicted model, not a curated record. NCBI's taxonomy places the organism in Eukaryota, Metazoa, Arthropoda, Malacostraca, Amphipoda, Hyalellidae.